Molecule: ribosomal RNA, 453 nt
Filed under: uncultured bacterium
Lineage: Bacteria
Description: bacterial SSU rRNA
Rfam family: Bacterial small subunit ribosomal RNA
Source: RNAcentral
CGGCGUGCUUAACACAUGCAAGUCGAACGGUGAAGGGGAGCUUGCUCCCCGGAUCAGUGGCGAACGGGUGAGUAACACGUGGGCAACCUGCCCCAGACUUCGGGAUAACGCUUCGAAAGAGGUGCUAAUACCGGAUACGAACUCCUUGGGCAUCCCGGGAGUUGGAAAGUUUUUUCGGUCUGGGAUGGGCCCGCGGCCUAACAGCUUGUUGGUGAGGUAACGGCUCACCAAGGCGACGACGGGUAGCCGGCCUGAGAGGGCGACGGCCACACUGGGACUGAGACACGGCCCAGACUCCUACGGGAGGCAGCAGUGGGGAAUAUUGCGCAAUGGGCGAAAGCCUGACGCAGCAACGCCGCGUGAGGGAUGACGGCCUUCGGGUUGUAAACCUCUUUCAGCAGGGAAGAAGCGAAAGUGACGGUACCUGCAGAAGAAGCACCGGCUAACUACGUG